This 492-nucleotide ribosomal RNA is filed under the name uncultured bacterium. Its description in RNAcentral is "partial 16S ribosomal RNA". It matches the Rfam family "Bacterial small subunit ribosomal RNA", at positions 29 to 507 of the family's 1533-position model. The record is from RNAcentral.
AGUGAACGCUGGCGGUAGGCCUAACACAUGCAAGUCGAACGGCAGCACAGUAAGAGCUUGCUCUUACGGGUGGCGAGUGGCGGACGGGUGAGGAAUACAUCGGAAUCUACUUUUUCGUGGGUGAUAACGUAGGGAAACUUACGCUAAUACCGCAUACGACCUACGGGUGAAAGCAGGGGAUCUUCGGACCUUUCGCGAUUGAAUGAGCCGAUGUCGGAUUAGCUAGUUGGCGGGGUAAAGGCCCACCAAGGCGACGAUCCGUAGCUGGUCUGAGAGGAUGAUCAGCCACACUGGAACUGAGACACGGUCCAGACUCCUACGGGAGGCAGCAGUGGGGAAUAUUGGACAAAGGGCGCAAGCCUGAUCCAGCCAUACCGCGUGGGUGAAGAAGGCCUUCGGGUUGUAAAGCCCUUUUGUUGGGAAAGAAAAGCAGCAGGUUAAUACCCCGCUGUUCUGACGGUACCCAAAGAAUAAGCACCGGCUAACUUCGUG